AAGUGAUUAUUAUUAUCAUAAAGCAUUAUAAUUUCUAUUUCAGUUCACUAUUAUUAUCAUAACAGUAUUAAAAUUUUAAUUUUACGUCUGUUAAUGUCAAUCUUAAUUGCAAAUUCAAUAUGAUGGAGUUGUCUCGAUAGCAUUGCAAAUCCACAUUUUCAUAUUGUUAGCUUAAUAGCAUUGGCCAUAAAAUAUUAAGUACAUUAAUGAGAAAAAUAUUUCAUCUGCCCCCAUGUGGAUGAUUAAACUUCAUGUAUUGAUCAUAAGGCGAGGAAGGGCGCCGACGCGCUGGGCGUAGCGGUCCUACUUGAGGUAGCGGCCAAUGCGGCCCACCGCGAACUGGAGGCCGACCUUCACCGACCGAGAGACGGAUUUCUUCUUGGAUCCAACGCCUCCCCUCCGACCGCCGGCGCCCUUCCUCGCCUUCCCCCCGGUCUCCAUCUCCUCCGCCCUCGUACCGGUCUGGACAACGCUCCCCGAUAUCCUGAGUCAACUUGGAUCACUGAGUUCCACACGUCAGAUGAGUUCCGAUGGAGGGCGGGAGAUUGCUUGGAUGGCGAUCCAUGGCGAUCGGGAUUGGGCCAAUCGAACGACGUCUUUCACGGUCAUACCAGCCUGCCUACAUCUGAAUAUCUCCAUGGAGAAAAAAUCUGAGAGGCCAAGUCGACACCAGAGGAAUGCGUCGCGGGGUGUCUUUGCUCUCCCUGAAAACUUCUCCAGCUCUGAAGCUCCUCCAGUGGAAGUUAGUGAGCAGAAGACGGCAUGCAAGCCGGCCCAGAAUCCACCUGAUGGUCAUCCUUCAGCUUCGCUGCAACAGGAGCUGAAGAGCAGUGUUACUAAAAAUCAUUGAGGCUGUGUGCUUAAUCUGUGUCUUUGCACUCUUUGUAAUAGAUGCACUUUCCUAUCUCUAUAACGCCACAAUAGUUUCACUGUCCUGUGGGUGCAUGCCACCAGCAGUUGCUGCAAUGCAAAAUAAAUGGACAUCAAGAGCUAGUUCUUAUGAUUUAUCCUUAUCUUUCGCUAUAAAAUGUCAGUAGAUCUAUAUAUAAUGUGGAGCAAUAUGCUGUUUGACUGA
This is a long non-coding RNA of Musa acuminata AAA Group (dessert banana), 1075 nucleotides long. RefSeq lists it as uncharacterized. The transcript is spliced from 2 exons. NCBI's taxonomy places the organism in Eukaryota, Viridiplantae, Streptophyta, Magnoliopsida, Zingiberales, Musaceae. The record is from RefSeq and is a predicted model, not a curated record.